Molecule: non-coding RNA, 639 nt
Filed under: Pleurotus cornucopiae (cornucopia mushroom)
Lineage: Eukaryota; Fungi; Basidiomycota; Agaricomycetes; Agaricales; Pleurotaceae
Also listed under: 6 other names
Description: eukaryotic LSU rRNA
Rfam family: 5.8S ribosomal RNA (bases 245-398)
Source: RNAcentral
AAGGAUCAUUAAUGAAUUCACUAUGGAGUUGUUGCUGGCCUCUAGGGGCAUGUGCACGCUUCACUAGUCUUUCAACCACCUGUGAACUUUUGAUAGAUCUGUGAAGUCGUCUUUCAAGUCGUCAGACUUGGUUUGCUGGGAUUUAAACGUCUCGGUGUGACAACGCAGUCUAUUUACUUAACACACCCCAAAUGUAUGUCUACGAAUGUCAUUUAAUGGGCCUUGUGCCUAUAAACCAUAAUACAACUUUCAACAACGGAUCUCUUGGCUCUCGCAUCGAUGAAGAACGCAGCGAAAUGCGAUAAGUAAUGUGAAUUGCAGAAUUCAGUGAAUCAUCGAAUCUUUGAACGCACCUUGCGCCCCUUGGUAUUCCGAGGGGCAUGCCUGUUUGAGUGUCAUUAAAUUCUCAAACUCACUUUGGUUUUUUCCAAUUGUGAUGUUUGGAUUGUUGGGGGCUGCUGGCCUUGACAGGUCGGCUCCUCUUAAAUGCAUUAGCAGGACUUCUCAUUGCCUCUGCGCAUGAUGUGAUAAUUAUCACUCAUCAAUAGCACGCAUGAAUAGAGUCCAGCUCUCUAAUCGUCCGCAAGGACAAUUUGACAAUUUGACCUCAAAUCAGGUAGGACUACCCGCUGAACUUAA